AUUAUUGCUUGAGGGUGCCAAGAACUGUAGCAGUAAGAGCAGAAGCAGAAAUGAAGAACACGAAGGAUGCUAUGGAGUGAGAGAAAAGUCCAUGCUUGCAAGAAUCCAAAGACACCCUGUGAGGACGCCCCAAAAUACUCGAGGAAGUGUCCAGCAAGACCUCUUAGGGAGUUCCAGGUGGAUGGGAAAAGGGGACCAAAUGAGUUC
This 207-nucleotide long non-coding RNA is filed under the name Homo sapiens (human). Its description in RNAcentral is "HSALNT0401043". Lineage: Eukaryota; Metazoa; Chordata; Mammalia; Primates; Hominidae. The record is from RNAcentral.